CUUUGAUAGCUUGUGUGUUCUCCUCUGCAAUACCUGUUUGCCAUCCCUGCCUUGGAGCCAGAUGAUUAUGGACUGAAACCUCUACAAACUAUGCUGGACAGCAGCAGUGAAGCUCCCAGGAGCUACAAGAACACAAGGCUGUGAAAGAGAUGGUUAUAAUAUGGAAAAAUGAAUCAAAGUCCUGAAUACAUCAUCUAAGGGAGUGGCAUCACCCCUUCUGCAGCUGUCCACCCCGUUGUUCCCUCACUAUGACUGGGAGGUGAAUAUAAUCUACUUACUUGAGCUUUCUGAAGCAAAGCCUGCUCCCUCAUUGCUGGUGUCAAGAGGUCUGCUGCCCUCUCUUCUCUUCUAAGAAGAUUGUGGGGAGAGAAACUCAAGCCUCAGAAGAUGAGAUCUCCUCCAUAACCUCUUGCUGUCAGAAGAAGAUCACCCACAAUCCUUCAGAGAGAGAAAGAGAGAGAACCAUUGGCUCAAUUGUAAUCAUAUGAUAUUUGGGAUCAUGUAUUAUUUGUAUUAUACAACAUUGCUUGUUUAUCAAGCUAAAAUUUGUUAGAAAUAUUUGCUUGUCUUGUAGAACACUAGCAGAACAAGUUACUUGCAAUCCAAGGUUUUACUCUGUGUGUAUAAAUUAUAAAACAUAAUUGUAAACUGGACACCCAAGAGUCCAUCAUCAAACUUAAACAAUGGAAUGUUACCAAUGUCAUUUGUUCAUUGCUAACCCCCAGCUGUGCUGCACCUUUACCCAGGUUUCCACUAUCCUGAAAGAUGC
Molecule: long non-coding RNA, 769 nt
Filed under: Heterocephalus glaber (naked mole-rat)
Lineage: Eukaryota; Metazoa; Chordata; Mammalia; Rodentia; Bathyergidae
Description: lncRNA (ENSHGLG00000039840.1)
Source: RNAcentral